UAAUACUGCAGGGCCAUUGUUUUGUCUCAAGAUGUACACCAGUGAUGUUUUUUUUCUAGUGUACAUUUAUUAAAGCUACUUAAAUGUCCUAACUGAACUAAGGCCUAACCCUGGCUUAAUCUAAGCCCUGUCUGUGAAACCAGGCCCUAAUCUUAUUUUAUCUCUCUCUUUUUUGUCUUAUUGUGAGAAAAGCACUAUAUAAAUGUAAAAAACAAGAUGUUUUUGCAUGUGAGUUAGUCUUUUGAGAUACCUAAUCUUAUUUUAUAUCUCUCUCUCUUUUUUUAUCUUGUGCAUGAUGCUAUUCUACAGGUCAUGUCUUUUGGACACCUUAGCUCAGAUUUGGCAAUGACGUAGGUCCUUCCACCCAUUAAAGAGCCAUUUAUGUCACCGUUAAGCUAGCUGGUGUGGCAUUCUGCCCGUUUCGAGAUCCCCCCCUGGCUCAUCCAGCAAUAACGACAAUUCUGAAAGGCAGUGGAAGCUGAUCUCUAUAUCAUCACCCCUGAAAUAUUUGUCUAUCUGGAGGCGUAGCAUCCCCACCGGGCCAUCAGCAUUGCAUCAUCCAUCAGAGAUGCCUCUGGCACUGCAGUAAAGCUGGGCUCUAGGACUUGAAACCCAGCGCUGGUUUUUCCAUCAGACUACAAGAUUUGUGGUGUGAUGAUGGACAGAAUUCGUUCUCACCUUUCUUUGUGGGCUCAGGCAUGUUGAGCCGUUCUCCGGUGGACCGGGCACCAGUUGGAGGGGUUCAGGGGUGAGUCUGGGCUGCCCAGUGUGUGUGGCAGGGGGUGUCCUUUAGCCACUGAUGGAGAAACAGAGGUGAGGAAAGCAGCACCAGAGACUGUGGAAGCCAAUGAGGAUGAGGGCAACGCAGGAACGUGAAGGAGAAAGUAACAGAUCUGGGGGUGAUGAAUAAAUGGGGUUUAUAUAGUGCUCAUCCUAGCCACUCCUCUCUCUUUGAUAAUGGAGCCCAAAAAGAUCCCUAACACCUCCCUCCCCUUCUCUCCUAAAGUCCUGGGGAUUAGAUGUGGCUCGCUGUGCCCUGUCUCCUCACCAGCUGGAGUCAGACAGCGAGAGGGGCUUUUGGAUAACGUUGCAUUGCAGAAAAAAAGAAUGUAUUUCUGUUGACAAGGUGGCAUUGCUUUGAAUAUGUCACAAAGAGACAUCAUUUUAUUUUUAUACAGAAUGCCUGACACUACAUCACAAUGAAAAUGUAUAAAAAAUAACAAAUCUUACAUGAAAAAAAAAAAAAAAAAAAAAAAAAAAAAUAUAUAUAUAUAUAUAUGCAUCGUGAUGCUCUUGUGAACACUCGCAUGUGCGUUAACACACGUCGUGUAUGCGUCUUGAAGCUCUCGAGAAUGAGCAUUGCAGAUCAAUAUUUAUGUAAGUAAAGUGGUAAAUUAUGUUUUUUUUUUUUUUGCACAAACAAAGCACUCACGUCGCUUCAUAAAAUUGAGUUUAAGCCACUGGAGUCACAUGGAGUACUUUAAUGAUGUCUUUUUCCUUCCUUUCUGGACCUUGGAAUGGUAGUUGCGUUGGAUCUCAAUGGAGAGACAGAAACCUCUCAGACUUCAUCAAAAAUAUCUUAAUUUGUGUUCCGAAGAUGAACGAAGGUCUUACAGAUGUGGAAUGACAUGAGGGGUUUAACUGUUCUGGAACAUCUGUGUAAAGUGUGGAAUUGUUUCCUGUCUGCUGUGGAUGAUAAAAUGUGGGAGACUGUGCUUGAAGGGUAUGAAAACCUUUCCUCCACUGUGGCU
Long non-coding RNA from Ctenopharyngodon idella (grass carp), 1751 nucleotides. RefSeq lists it as uncharacterized. The transcript is spliced from 4 exons. The record is from RefSeq and is a predicted model, not a curated record. Lineage: Eukaryota; Metazoa; Chordata; Actinopteri; Cypriniformes; Xenocyprididae.